RNAcentral lists this ribosomal RNA (205 nucleotides) under uncultured bacterium. RNAcentral describes it as "partial 16S ribosomal RNA". It matches the Rfam family "Bacterial small subunit ribosomal RNA", at positions 1287 to 1500 of the family's 1533-position model. The record is from RNAcentral.
CUCAGUUCGGAUUGAAGUCUGCAACCCGACUUCAUGAAGCUGGAUUCGCUAGUAAUCGCGCAUCAGCUACGGCGCGGUGAAUACGUUCCCGGGCCUUGUACACACUGCCCGUCAAGCCAUGGGAGCCGGGGUACCUGAAGUGCGUAACCGCAAGGAGCGCCCUAGGGUAAAACUGGUGACUGGGGCUAAGUCGUAACAAGGUAUC